CUCAAUAGAUGCGGCGCGAGUAUACUUUCUCAAGGGGAAAGUAUUGAAAAAGGGAAGUCAGUUAAAAUCUGACGCGGUCCCGCCACUGUGAUAGUGAGCGGCCUUACAUAGUGUCACUGGGUAAAACCGGGAAGACGUAAGGCAGCGAUGAACUUAAGCCAGGAGACCUGCUCGCUCCGGAACAGCACAG
This 190-nucleotide non-coding RNA is filed under the name Acididesulfobacillus acetoxydans. The record is from RNAcentral. Lineage: Bacteria; Bacillati; Bacillota; Clostridia; Eubacteriales; Peptococcaceae.